UCUAAUCUUUUGUGAAAUUAUUCCAGACCC
RNAcentral lists this non-coding RNA (30 nucleotides) under Mus musculus (house mouse). Lineage: Eukaryota; Metazoa; Chordata; Mammalia; Rodentia; Muridae. The record is from RNAcentral.